RNAcentral lists this ribosomal RNA (477 nucleotides) under uncultured bacterium. RNAcentral's name for it is "SSU rRNA". It matches the Rfam family "Bacterial small subunit ribosomal RNA", at positions 26 to 519 of the family's 1533-position model. The record is from RNAcentral.
AGGACGAACGCUGGCGGCGUGCUUAACACAUGCAAGUCGAGCGGAAAGGCCCUUCGGGGUACUCGAGCGGCGAACGGGUGAGUAACACGUGAGUAAUCUGCCCCUAGCUCUGGGAUAGCUCCGGGAAACCGGGAUUAAUACCGGAUAUGACCACUUUAGACAUCUGUUGUGGUGGAAAGAAUUUCGGCUAGGGAUGAGCUCGCGGCCUAUCAGCUUGUUGGUGGGGUAACGGCCUACCAAGGCGACGACGGGUAGCCGGCCUGAGAGGGCGACCGGCCACACUGGGACUGAGACACGGCCCCAGACUCCUACGGGAGGCAGCAGUGGGGAAUAUUGCGCAAUGGGCGAAAGCCUGACGCAGCGACGCCGCGUGGGGGAUGAAGGCCUUCGGGUUGUAAACCCCUUUCAGCAGGACGAAGCGAAAGUGACGGUACCUGCAGAAGAAGCGCCGGCGUAACUACGCGCCACGCAGCCGGC